RNAcentral lists this long non-coding RNA (205 nucleotides) under Gallus gallus (chicken). The record is from RNAcentral. Lineage: Eukaryota; Metazoa; Chordata; Aves; Galliformes; Phasianidae.
CACACAUCAGUGUUGGAACAUUCUGCUAAUGUCCCACCCGUGUAAUUCUACAUCGAAGAUAUAGAAGAGAUCUCCCACAAACGUAACAUUAGUUCUUAGCUAGGACUGAAUAAUUGAGAGAAGCAAGAUAUCUCUAGACAGCAAUUUCUUCCACCUGAGAAUUAUUACUUUGGGAUACGAUAUAACACUCUUGGGAAUUUCUGUC